UGCUUACCAUGCAAGUCGAACGGUAAGGCCCCUUCGGGGGUACACGAGUGGCGAACGGGUGAGUAACACGUGGGUAAUCUGCCCUGCACUUCGGGAUAAGCCUGGGAAACNGGGUCUAAUACCGGAUAUGAACUCCUGCCGCAUGGUGGGGGUUGGAAAGUUUUUCGGUGCAGGAUGAGCCCGCGGCCUAUCAGCUUGUUGGUGGGGUAAUGGCCUACCAAGGCGACGACGGGUAGCCGGCCUGAGAGGGUGAUCGGCCACACUGGGACUGAGACACGGCCCAGACUCCUACGGGAGGCAGCAGUGGGGAAUAUUGCACAAUGGGCGAAAGCCUGAUGCAGCGACGCCGCGUGGGGGAUGACGGUCUUCGGAUUGUAAACCCCUUUCAGUAGGGACGAAGCGCAAGUGACGGUACCUGCAGAAGAAGCACCGGCUAACUACGUGCCAGCAGCCGCGGUAAUACGUAGGGUGCGAGCGUUGUCCGGAAUUACUGGGCGUAAAGAGCUCGUAGGCGGUUUGUCACGUCGUCUGUGAAAUCCCUCGGCUUAACCGGGGGCGUGCAGGCGAUACGGGCAGACUUGAGUACUACAGGGGAGACUGGAAUUCCUGGUGUAGCGGUGAAAUGCGCAGAUAUCAGGAGGAACACCGGUGGCGAAGGCGGGUCUCUGGGUAGUAACUGACGCUGAGGAGCGAAAGCAUGGGUAGCGAACAGGAUUAGAUACCCUGGUAGUCCAUGCCGUAAACGGUGGGCGCUAGGUGUGGGGUCCUUCCACGGACUCCGUGCCGUAGCUA
RNAcentral lists this ribosomal RNA (792 nucleotides) under Dietzia sp. N21. Its description in RNAcentral is "bacterial SSU rRNA". It matches the Rfam family "Bacterial small subunit ribosomal RNA", at positions 45 to 854 of the family's 1533-position model. The record is from RNAcentral. Lineage: Bacteria; Bacillati; Actinomycetota; Actinomycetes; Mycobacteriales; Dietziaceae.